Molecule: ribosomal RNA, 723 nt
Filed under: Staphylococcus aureus
Lineage: Bacteria; Bacillati; Bacillota; Bacilli; Caryophanales; Staphylococcaceae
Description: bacterial SSU rRNA
Rfam family: Bacterial small subunit ribosomal RNA
Source: RNAcentral
CGGACGGGUGAGUAACACGUGGAUAACCUACCUAUAAGACUGGGAUAACUUCGGGAAACCGGAGCUAAUACCGGAUAAUAUUUUGAACCGCAUGGUUCAAAAGUGAAAGACGGUCUUGCUGUCACUUAUAGAUGGAUCCGCGCUGCAUUAGCUAGUUGGUAAGGUAACGGCUUACCAAGGCAACGAUGCAUAGCCGACCUGAGAGGGUGAUCGGCCACACUGGAACUGAGACACGGUCCAGACUCCUACGGGAGGCAGCAGUAGGGAAUCUUCCGCAAUGGGCGAAAGCCUGACGGAGCAACGCCGCGUGAGUGAUGAAGGUCUUCGGAUCGUAAAACUCUGUUAUUAGGGAAGAACAUAUGUGUAAGUAACUGUGCACAUCUUGACGGUACCUAAUCAGAAAGCCACGGCUAACUACGUGCCAGCAGCCGCGGUAAUACGUAGGUGGCAAGCGUUAUCCGGAAUUAUUGGGCGUAAAGCGCGCGUAGGCGGUUUUUUAAGUCUGAUGUGAAAGCCCACGGCUCAACCGUGGAGGGUCAUUGGAAACUGGAAAACUUGAGUGCAGAAGAGGAAAGUGGAAUUCCAUGUGUAGCGGUGAAAUGCGCAGAGAUAUGGAGGAACACCAGUGGCGAAGGCGACUUUCUGGUCUGUAACUGACGCUGAUGUGCGAAAGCGUGGGGAUCAAACAGGAUUAGAUACCCUGGUAGUCCACGCCGUAAACGA